This 497-nucleotide ribosomal RNA is filed under the name uncultured bacterium. Its description in RNAcentral is "partial 16S ribosomal RNA". It matches the Rfam family "Bacterial small subunit ribosomal RNA", at positions 28 to 507 of the family's 1533-position model. The record is from RNAcentral.
GAUGAACGCUGGCGGCGUGCCUAAUACAUGCAAGUCGAACGAACAGACGAUGAUCUUGCUCCUCUGACGUUAGCGGCGGACGGGUGAGUAACACGUGUAUAACCUACCUAUAAGACUGGGAACAUUUCGGGAAACCGGAGCAAAUCCCGUAUGAUAUAUUGAACCGCAGGGUUCAUUAGUAAAAUACGGUUUUGCGGUCUCUAAUAGAGGCUUCCCCGCCUCAUUGGCGGGUUGUUAAGUAAACGGCUUACCAAGGCAACGAGGCGUGGCCGAACUGCGAGGGUGGUAGGCCACACGGGAACGGAACCACGGUCAAGACUCCUGCGGGAGGGAGCAGUAGGGAAUCUUCGGCAAUGGGCGGAAGCAUGACGGAGCAGCGCCGCGCGAGUGACGAAAGUCUUGCGAUCGUAAAACUCUGUUAUUAGGGAAGAACAACUGUGGAAGUAACUAUGCACGUAUUGACGGUACCUGAUCAGAAAGCCACGGCUAACUACGUG